AGGGUGCGAGCGUUGUUCGGAAUCACUGGGCGUAAAGCGCGUGUAGGCGGCCCAGUAGGUCUGAUGUGAAAGCCCGGGGCUCACCCCCGGAAGUGCAUUGGAAACUGGUGGACUCGAGUCCCGGAGAGGAGAGUGGAAUUCCUGGUGUAGCGGUGAAAUGCGUAGAUAUCAGGAGGAACACCGGUGGCGAAGGCGGCUCUCUGGACGGUGACUGACGCUGAGACGCGAAAGCGUGGGGAGCAAACAGG
This 248-nucleotide ribosomal RNA is filed under the name uncultured bacterium. RNAcentral's name for it is "partial 16S ribosomal RNA". It matches the Rfam family "Bacterial small subunit ribosomal RNA", at positions 529 to 776 of the family's 1533-position model. The record is from RNAcentral.